This 253-nucleotide ribosomal RNA is filed under the name uncultured bacterium. Its description in RNAcentral is "partial 16S ribosomal RNA". It matches the Rfam family "Bacterial small subunit ribosomal RNA", at positions 524 to 776 of the family's 1533-position model. The record is from RNAcentral.
UACGUAAGGUGCAAGCGUUAAUCGGAAUUACUGGGCGUAAAGCGUGCGCAGGCGGUUGUGCAAGACCGAUGUGAAAUCCCCGGGCUUAACCUGGGAAUGGCAUUGGUGACUGCACGGCUAGAGUGUGUCAGAGGGGGGUAGAAUUCCACGUGUAGCAGUGAAAUGCGUAGAGAUGUGGAGGAAUACCGAUGGCGAAGGCAGCCCCCUGGGAUAACACUGACGCUCAUGCACGAAAGCGUGGGGAGCAAACAGG